Molecule: long non-coding RNA, 943 nt
Organism: Bombus pascuorum
Lineage: Eukaryota; Metazoa; Arthropoda; Insecta; Hymenoptera; Apidae
Exons: 3
Source: RefSeq, a predicted model, not a curated record
AUCUUUUUCCUGACAUUAUUUCUAUUCCAUAUUACUAAGGUUACUGUUAGUAGAGUGUGGAUUUUUACAGAAUUUUAAAAUUUUAGCAACCCUUCGUAGGCAAUCUGGGUCAUUCACGUCCCAAGCAAAAUUUCAAUCAUAGGGGUGGUAGUGGCCUGUUGCAUGGAUCCUCGAGGUCGCACUGGCUACGAAGGAAUACUUCUAGAAGGCCCAUGAACAACAUGAAGGACGAACCACCACAUGUUGAUGCCAAAGUCGGCCCGGUUGAAGGCGUUAGUGGACAAUUACAGCUCAUCUGCAACGUUCAUUGAUUUUUUAAAGAACCUGAGAUGCGCGCAUCGCUACUUGCAGUAUGAAAGGACACUGUCAACGUGAAUGUGCAUGAUCGUGUGUACACACCUUCAACACCGUUACGUUCACUGACCGAGAACCGCGUCGGUUACGAAAGUCACGCAGUUCUGCAGCUUCUUUUUUUUUGCUAGUUUUCCUGGCUUUUUGCUUCGACACCCUGUCAGACUUACAACGUACAACAGACUAAUUGCAUAGCGACGUUUCUCGAUCGGGACGUACACGUGUCGAAAGCUUGGACGAGUGAGAAUUCAAUAUCCUCGACUGAGAAUGUCUCGUAUUGGAAUGCGUCAAACGCAUCUUCAGCGUAGAAUUACGAGUUGGCUGGAUUUGUCUUAUAUAGAGUUCGGCUUUUUAUGGAUUUCUGGAAAACUUGGAGAUCGAAGAACGCAUGAAAUACACACAAUAUGCAAAAAUAUAUGAAAUAUCCAAAGUAUACAAUUCUUUAUAAUAUUUAAUAGGAAAAACAAUUAUUUGUCGAAUUCCAUUUUUUAAAUGAUAUUCGUACGAAUAUGAGUUUUCAUAAAUAUUUGCAAUCUAACAAUAUGUUUUAAAUGCAGAACACAAAUUGCUAUUAAAAUUAGGUUCACUCGGA